This is a long non-coding RNA of Physcomitrium patens, 3015 nucleotides long. RefSeq lists it as uncharacterized. Lineage: Eukaryota; Viridiplantae; Streptophyta; Bryopsida; Funariales; Funariaceae. The record is from RefSeq and is a predicted model, not a curated record.
GUGGUGAAAGAUGUAUCAGAUGAUCACUAGUUUUUCCCUUUUGAGAUCAUCUUCGUGUUCCUCGAUUUCUGGGACAAUCGAUAUGUCAGCGCUGCAAUUCAUCACCUGUUCGCCGCAUUGUACUGUAUCAAUCCUGCCUUGAAGGGGAGACAGAAUAGUGCAAUGGCAUAUGAGCCACUUAUACAGAUCCUACCCAUACUUAAGUCUUGUCUGACAUAUCUCGUAAUCGUAAUCGUGGCUGAAACCACAGUUCUGCGCUUCUGAAACAAAAAAGUGGACUAGUCAGCCAAUCCAUGGAGGUAGAGUUGUUGAGAAUAACUAACGCGGAGCCGAGUUCGCACAAGUGGCAUCAAAAGUUGAGUAGUUUGUUUUGCUGUGUCGUCGUCUAGUCGAAUCGAUAGAUGUAAAGACUAAUUGGAACCUCGGGGAGAUGCAAUUCGUAAAAAGCUCACUGUGGGUGCUGCGGUCCACACGAUUUCAACCGACUUGAAUUAUGUGGAGAAACAAGUUGUGUCCGAUGCUGGUGGUGGACCCAACAGCUAGUUGAAAAAUUGCAAGUUUGCCCCGAUCUCAAAUGGUACCAUUCGUUAGGAAGGGAUGCAUUCAACACAUGAAACGACAAAAAACAAAUCGCGUUUUGGUCAAAUUCUUUCCUAUUGACUGGUCAAUAAAUGGACGGUGUGGUGUGCCUACAACCGAAAUUGGCUGUAAAACCCCAUCUGUAGCUGCGUUAUCUGACUCCAAUGACUAUCUCAAUUGCUUCCAGAACUUGGAGUACUGGUGAUUCCUCUUCGACCCACAAUGACUUGACGAGUCAGCACCAGGUUUUAAUUGUUACGUGCUCGAGGAAAUACGGUGAAAUCUUUUCUCUUUGUCUAGUUGACCGCGUCAUCAUAUGAAAUGGGUUCCUCGCACGGUAAACCGGUUUUCCUCUAACGUACCCACAAUGCUCUAAUAACAUUGCCGUGUAGAGCAAAGUGGAGUCAUUAUCUUGCAAGACGAAACUCUUCUGUGAGGAUUUGUCAAAGUGUUCGGAAAAAAUUCAUCUGUAGAGAUUACUGCCGACGACAAGGCAAGGGUGCAGCAUGCGGCAUUAGCCAAGGCUCACAAAUAAUCCUUUUGUUUUACAUUGGCGACAGUUGUGCGUCGGCAAUUGGAUCAUCCCCUAAGACCAGCAAUCUUGGUUGUCACUCCCGCACCUCACUUCUGUCGCGCAUUCGGCGAUGCUUCCACUGAUGUGGAGUUGUCAGUGUGGACUAUCACUACUCGAUUAGAGCAACUCUCAAGAGGCCUUUGAUAGCUGGUGCCCAACCCAGUUCGCCGCCGUCAUUCUAUUUCCUGCUUUAAAUUUGGCUGUUCUUUGUAGAGCAUCUCGCUUGCCUCUCUCGCCGCGAGGAAGACCAACCUAGAUCCGGUGAUAUUUUGACUGGUUUGUUCACUGUGGUUCCGCUACGGACUGGAGGGUAACGAGAUCUGCAAACAAGGUAGUGUAGCUUUCGAUUUCAAGGCGUGAAGCCCGAGCGGCGUCAGAUCAUGAGGUGGUUUAAGUAUAUCCUGUUUCCUGGAAGUGCAUCGCUAGCUGCUGUGUGAUUUACUCCGCCUGUGAUUGACUCCUGUGUCCGUUUCUUAAACUCCGUUGUUUAAUUUGAGGGGAUGCGGAUGAGCAAGGAGCGUGUAGUCGUGUUCUGUUGAAAGUCGAGAUAGUAUUCGUAAUUUUUGAUGACUUAACAAAGGUGUGGUAGGAGUGGUGAUGCUCCUCGAUUAUGUGUAAGAAUGCGUAAGUUUAGUACAGUCCAGCGAGGUGACGCGGUUUUUCAGAUGGUUCAUCAAGCUUAUGGAUUGUGAAUAGUCUUAUUUAAUCGAAGCGCUUUUAUAGCAAUAUCACGUUUUUGGUGAUGUGUGCUUAUUAGCGUACGAAGCAGAUGCUUUUGAGGCUCGUUUUAUGCGAAACACAGCGAAUGGUCUUAUUUAGGUGAGCGAUGCUUGGUGCGAGAUUGUGUGACCUACCUUGUCUAAAGGGGUUUCGCUUCUGUGAAUGUACAUCGAAGUUGUGAAUUGUUUAGCGCAAUUGUGUCGUUAAUGUUUGGCGUGGCAGUAGGUGCGCUAUUCUACAUUAGCGGAUUUAAGUAAGGGGAAGCCAGGCGUUGGUAUUAGGAGUGGCGUCUUUCUAACUGUCGAGGUCGGCCUUGGACAAGAGAGCUAGACCCAAGGUUCGCGUUGGAGGUGGAAAGAAAGCCUUCAAAGAGAUCCGACGUUCUGCUCGCUUGGAUUUAAACUUUAUUCUAAAGCUCUUACUCGUGGUUUAGCAAACUGUAGGACAUCGUUAAAUAUCUAGGCAGAAAAUCUUCGCAGUCGACACUCAUAAGAUGUCUACUUCCUCACCUACAAAUAUGGGAGUUGGGUCUGGGAAGAAGAUGACUAUGGCCAGUGCGCAAGUUGGGGAAAAGCUGGCGCACUUAAGAGCCGACCUUCGAUUUGGAUUAUACCGACUUUCGCAUCCCUUACUGGCCAAGGAGGAGUAUGAUGCAGCGCAUGAAUCGAAUAUUGUUCAGUAAUCGGUAGCCACCGAGAAAAGGCGGCAACAGGAGGCAAGGGCACGUGCCAUUGCGAAUGAGAAAAAACUUGCCAAACGGAAGGAACAAACUAUGCGGGCUGGAUUUUCAGCACCUUUGUAGACUAGAACAUUUGUAGUAUUUGUAUAACGGAAUCAGGAUUCGGAGGCGGUCAUUGUGGCCAGCAUCUCUUUUUUUAUUAGAGGAAUUUAUUGUCUAAUUGGGAUCUAUCGUUAUAUUUAUAAUAGCUCCAGGGUAUAUGAUGCGUGUUGUUGCUUCAGUGGUUAACCCUAUCAUAUAUCGCACUAGGUUACCCUUGUAGCGAACCAAUUUGUAAAUUUUUAUUGAAGGAUGUAGUUCCUAGCUGGGUGAAAAUUAUAUGCUUGAGACCCAAGCACCUCGUCAACAUAAUAACUUUUAUUUUUAUUUUAAUUACAGCUCCAUUUCAGAAUGCUCGUUAUAA